GGGGGAUAACUACUGGAAACGGUAGCUAAUACCGCAUAACGUCGCAAGACCAAAGAGGGGACCUUCGGGCCUCUUGCCAUCAGAUGUGCCCAGAUGGGAUUAGCUUGUUGGUGGGGUAACGGCUCACCAAGGCGACGAUCCCUAGCUGGUCUGAGAGGAUGACCAGCCACACUGGAACUGAGACACGGUCCAG
RNAcentral lists this ribosomal RNA (193 nucleotides) under uncultured Enterobacterales bacterium. RNAcentral describes it as "partial 16S ribosomal RNA". It matches the Rfam family "Bacterial small subunit ribosomal RNA", at positions 138 to 334 of the family's 1533-position model. Lineage: Bacteria; Pseudomonadati; Pseudomonadota; Gammaproteobacteria; Enterobacterales. The record is from RNAcentral.